RNAcentral lists this ribosomal RNA (421 nucleotides) under Perinereis wilsoni. RNAcentral describes it as "partial 16S ribosomal RNA". It matches the Rfam family "Bacterial large subunit ribosomal RNA", at positions 1854 to 2570 of the family's 2925-position model. The record is from RNAcentral. Lineage: Eukaryota; Metazoa; Annelida; Polychaeta; Phyllodocida; Nereididae.
CAUCCUGCCCAGUGAAUUAAUUUUCAACGGCCGCGGUAUCCUGACCGUGCAAAGGUAGCAUAAUCAUUUGCCUUUUAAUUGAAGGCUAGUAUGAAAGGACACACAAGAAUAAUACUGUCUCAUUUGGGUUAUCUUAAAACUGAUUUUUAGGUGAAGAAGCCUAAAUUUCCAUAAAGGACAAGAAGACCCUAUAGAGCUUUAUCAGUAAAAGUUAUUAAACUCCCUUACUGUUUUGGUUGGGACAACCAAAAGACAAUAACACCUCUUUUUCUAAUAAUACAACUCACACCCAUAAUUGAAUUAGAAUUUCAAGCUACCUUAGGGAUAACAGGCUAAUCCCACUAGAGAGAUCACAUUGACAGUGGGGAUUGGCACCUCGAUGUUGGCUUAGUGUUACCAUUAGGCGCAGCCGCUUAAUUGA